Long non-coding RNA from Brienomyrus brachyistius, 6953 nucleotides. RefSeq lists it as uncharacterized. The record is from RefSeq and is a predicted model, not a curated record. NCBI's taxonomy places the organism in Eukaryota, Metazoa, Chordata, Actinopteri, Osteoglossiformes, Mormyridae. The transcript has 2 exons.
GGUAUAGGGAGGGCGGGGGCGUUACUGAUCUGUAUGAGCAAGUAUCUGUACACAAGGUCAGUGGGAACUCGUGACUAGAUCAGCCUUAAGAUCAGUUCCUCCUGUGUGUGUGUGUGUGUGUGUGUGUGUGUGUGUGUGUGUGUGUGUGUGUGUGUGUGUGUGUGUGUGUGUGUGUGUGUGUGUGUGUGUUAGAGAGAGAUUAGCUGUUUUAAGUUCCUUAAUGGUUCUAGCAUGAAUUUGCAAUUUUUUGAAAUCUUGAGCUCCCCACAUCCUUUCCAUUUUUUCAAGAUUUAUUCAUUUGUUUAACUUUGGAGAGUUUUUUUUUUUUGCCCCUCGAAUCAUCAUUCAGCUGGCCUUGUUGCCCACACCCAUGUUGAAUGUUGAAAACAGAGAUAAGACUGUAUAUGACAUAUAUUUUUAGUCAGUAUGGCAUAGUGAGUGCUGUGGUAAACUUUUAGUUUUUUUCUUGAGUUAUUCUUUGUAUGAAGAUAUCUUUGUCAUAUAUACCCAUAUAACUUAAGAUCAUGCCUUUAAAAAGCUUUUGUCGUACAAGAAACAGAAUUAGGUUCUUUUUUCUUUGUGAAUUGCAUUGUGUUAAGAUUAUUUAAUGAUAACAUCUCUUUGUAAAUAGCUGUCCAACAUUUGUUAGCAUUUUCAUUUGUUUUACCAGAAACAACAAAAUUUCUAAGUCUUAUGUUUUUUCAUAGCAACUUUCUCAUUUAUCUUAGAAUAAUUGUAGGAUUGGUACUUUCACGUACUUUCUGACAUUUUGAAAGAACUUGGUCUUCAUCUUGUUUCUGUUCAGGCUCAAUGUAACCGCACUGAGCAGACUUGCACCAUCUUAAACGGUUACAAUUUCCUUCUGCAAAUUCAAAGGCACUGUUGUUGCAGAUACCAUCUGUCUUAGCUUUUCUCACCACUGAUAUCAGCAUUUGAUUAAGGGUCAGAUUAAUGCAAAAUUUUUUUAGUAAUGAUCAUUAAUAUCACUAGUCGGUUUUCGUCACAGAAGGAAUAUGUGAACUGAACUUAAAAUGUGGGCUUGUUAAAUAAGUGUCUUCAAAAACCAGCUAAUAAGACUGCUUAAACUUAUUUUCAUUUAUUGGAUCUUCAUGAAAUAUUUGAGAACGCUGCCUAUUGUUUUUUUAUAGGUUGGGUUGUAUGCUUAUUGAGUUGUUUAAUAAUUUGGUGGUAAAUUGCUUUUGAUAUAUGGUUUGUUUUUUAUUUUAGUUUUGCUUUUGACUGCCACAUAUAGCUUGACUGACUGUAUACUUUAGACAAGUGAGUGCCGUGUGACAUGACCUUGGCGGAAAACGCCGGAAAGCUGGCAAUUCUCCAGCUAUUGUUUUGUAGUGCAGAGGUGAUGUUUGUUUUUUACUUUUCUUCCACCCCAGAUAUUAAAAACCAAAAUUGAUAGAGUAAGCAUAUUAAAAAGCAUUGUGAAAAUCUUGCUUAUUAUCAUUUGCAAAUGAUGUGUUGUGGGUUUUGUGGCAAUAAUUCACUUUAGUCACAUGGUUAGAAAGUGAAAUGUGCCCUGCUGCUGUUAGCUUCUGUUAUAUCAGUAUCUUUUAAACAUUGUUUUUAUUGAUGUAACGGUCAUCUAUCCAUGAAAACCUGCCAUCUUUUCCCUUUAUCCUUUCAGGGUGUGUAAGGUUCUGCACUGGUUUUUUUUAAGGGAUGCACUUAUCACGUACUGCUUAAAUAGUGAGAUUAGGGCAAUCAGUCUUAAAGCAGGUGUUCACUGACAUCAAGGGAAGGACUAAUCCUAAUACAGAACCAUCACUUAUUUGUAAUAACCGUCACUAAAACCAGGUCGGCCAGACUUCUGUGGAACAGUGAUGAAAUCUGAAUCUUAUGACUAUGCGGUGGUGUCAUAACACGUCAUGUGAUGCAUUAUGCUCUGGGGUUAGUGCUUCCAUUGGAUCCUGAUCAGUGAUUUCAAAUUGAUGGUCUAUGAGAAUUUAAGACGCCACCUAUAUAGUUCUCCUGCAAUGUUUACUCAUGUUAUUCACUAGUGAUGCCCCAAUAAGGAAAUAUUUGGCCGAUACGAAAGGCCAGUUAUUUCAAAAACGGACACCGAUACUGAUUUGUUUGGGAGGUUUUGCUUAAAUAAAAAAAAAAAUUGAAAAUUUGCAUGCCGAAAAUAUGGAAAAGGUACUAUAUUUUAUAACUAACUGUUUAUAAAAAGUGUGGAACUCCGUAAUUUUCUGAGUAGUAUCUGUGUUAUUUGGCACUAAUGCAGCCUUCUCUAUUGGAAUACAUUUUCAGUCUCUUUGCUUUCCCUAAGGCAAGACAGUAAUCAAAUUUGUUGUAUUGUUUUUUUAGUAGAUCCUCCUUAUGAAGUGUUAGAAAUGCAUUUUGCAAACAUUACUCUACUAGCAUUAAUUCCACACGGCAGACAUUUUUCUGAGUGUUUAGUACGCCGGUGUGCAACCCAAUAUGGGUCACCAUUUUAAAGAGAAUUAACGGCAGUAAAUAUCGGCUCAUUUUUAGCUAUUGACCAAUAACUGAUUGUUGCUGCAUUGGUCGAUACCAAUAGUUGGCCGAUACAAUUGGUGCAUUUUUAUUAUUCAUUCUAAUUCAUAUGCCAUUUACAUCUGUGAAACACGACACUUGCUUAAACUUUUUUGAUUAGUAUAGCUUCAUAGUAUUCCUCUGUGGACAUCCAUGGUAGACUGGUACAUAUCCCUUCGUUACUGCCAUGUUAUUUUGGAAGUUCCUGCUUUAUCCAUGCUGUUUCCACCCUCAAAUAUUUGUACUGGUGUAACCUUUGUACUAAGUAACAGAAGGCGUUAUAGGUGAGCCACUGGAUUUAAGUUGGUGUGCCUAUGUUUUUGCACUCUAAGAACACAGCUAAAAGGCUCUUGCUAAGACUGUUUCUGUGGAAAAAUAUUUAUGCUUUACAUAUUUUUUUAGCAUAUACUGUAAUGUGGAUAUGCCACUCUCUAUAAACCAUUUAGUGUUCCGAAGAUUAAGAUGAAUGUUAUCCCAGGGGAAUUCUUGUGCAUAAAGCAGCAAGGACCAAAAAGACCAAGAGGCUAAGAAUCCUGCUGAAUAAUAAGUCAACAGAUACUUCCCCUGCCUGAAGCAAAUUUGUAUGUUCCUGUCCCUAACAAGUUUUCCUGCUUGUGCAGUUGAUCUUAAUUCAGUUCAGCAGAAGGGUGAACGGUCAGGUGCUUCUUUCUUUCUCAUAAGGGAAGUUCCAGUGAAAUUUGAUCUGUUAAUAUUUGUCAUGUUUAGUAGUGUGGAGAUCUAAAUCAAAUAACUCUCUUGCUGUAGCUAGGAUCCAUACCAUUCUGUUAGCAGCGACUGAGGAUGAUGAUGCUAAGAUACGAAAUAGUAUAAAUAAUUUUUAACUGGUUCCAUGAGUAUCAUUUUUAAGAAAGCAAAGUUGAAGCUCUCGUAAGACCGUCAACUGGUAAAACGAGUGUCAUUUUUUCAUUCUGCUAACUGUUUGCACAAGUCAGCUGUGCAACAGAAAUAUGCAAAUGCACAGAUUUAUCUUCAGUUUUAAAAUUUUUUAAGAUGGUGCGCCUAAAACCUCCAUGUUUCUCAUAGGCAGAACACUCCUUGUGUCUUGGGCCAAGUAGUCCUUGGGAGUCUAAUUAACAUGGUAUAUGUUACUGUAGAGCAUUAUGAUGGAGAAGAAUCAAGCUGUAUAGCUCAUCUCCCUGAUAGAACACCAGCUAGCCUUGUGAAUUCAGGGCCACUUUGUUGACUAAGGGCUGGGAUAUACGUGACGCGAUGCGUAUGCUACAAAAGCAGUGUACUGGCUAUACUUCAGCGUGUAGUUUACAUCUGUCUGGAGGAUUAAAACUACUUCGGUCGUUUGCGUAGUUUCCGGUCUCACUUGUUCGCAUUAGAUUGUGAUGCUCGCUGCCCCCACAACGAUCGACUUGCUAAUUUUGUAAUUCUGCUGCAGCAUUCUCUCUCUCUCUCUCUCUAUAUAUAUAUAUCCACUAUUCCACAUAUUAUUGGUAUUUAGCUCUACCACAUAUCUCCUUACUGCCCUGUCUUGAAUGUUGCAUUAUGUAUUGUUGGAUAUCUCAUGGUAGUUAGUAUUUCGUGAUUUGGCUGCAUGAUAUUCGGGGGAAAUCCAUUUCUUUAAGUUUUUUGCAUUAUUUAUAAAGAGAGAAUAGUUCAAAAUCAAUUUUCCACAAACACGUCUAUUCAUGAGUGAUUUUUAUACAGCAAGGAUGAGUGAUUAGGAUUGGCUCUGACAGCACAUGCAGAGCUGUUGCAGAAGUAGUAACUUCUGCAACAUAAAUGAACAACAUAAAUGAUCUAGCGAAAUGGAAAACCCCACUCUUCUGAAUUUUAUGACCAAGAUUUAUAAAUAGCAGAACUGUAUUGAAAAAUAACAUUGCGUAUGAAAGUAGUCCAGUAAGAAUUUCAAGUUAGGAUUUCAUUGUACUUUGUACACAACACUGGUUUCUUAGGGCGUUUUUCCAUCGCACCAGGUACCGUACCAAAAGUACGGCAUUGGUUUUCCACUGGCAUAAAACAUUUCUACCUGCGCCGAAUGACAUCACAACUCAAGGUGGAGUGUAUUGUACUGAAUUUGAAAAAAUGGUUGUAUGAUAGCAUACCACUUGGUGGUGUGCAAUAUUAAUACCAACAUCGCUUGUUAUUCACAUACAAUUCUUAAAUUCUAGUCAGCUAUAUUAAAAGAAGGCUUUUUCUUAAUUUCAAUUCUAUACUUUAUAAAUUUAUACUAACGGUCUUUCUGCUACUGUCUAUUCCUGGGAUUCUGGUCUUCUUCACUUGCUUAUAUUCACUUCAUCGCGUGUUUUCACUGUUGUCUAGCCGUCUUGUUUUAUGUUCACUCUGCAGGAGCACAUGCAAGCAAGCAUUUCAUUGUUCAUGGAACUUGUACACAUGACAAAAGAAUUGAAUAUGGAUAUUACAGUGCAGGGGUUGAAGCCUAGCUAAAAUAUUUUUACUCUGUUACUCUCUCAUAGGAAAAAAAACAACUUGGCAAGCUUUGCAAUUUUAAUUAUUCCUUUUAUAGAUUCUUGUAUGUAUAAAAAUCUUAUGUUUUACCUCUGCUGCUUUUGCAUGAGUGCUGCAUGCAUGCUUCGUGACAAUCGUAGUCAUUUUCAUCCUUAAAUCACUCAAAGAUGGGUUUGUGAGAAAUAUAUGAACUCCUCUUUUGUUUUCUAAAUACUCCAAUAUUUAUUACAACAAAAUCAUAUCACUGUGUUUAUAACAAAAUGACAUUGCUGGUACAGCAUGCAUAUAGCUGCUAUAUUUAGUAUAUUCAACAAUAUACUUGUCAUGCCAUCCGAAUCUUUUUGUUGUGUAUGUUCUUAUGACCAAAUUGCAUUUUAACUUUGUUUCUCAUUUUCUGAGUUCGCAACUGUUUUCAAGGUGGUGUUUUUAUUGUGUUUCAGGCCGGCUAUUUACAUAACCUAUCGAUAAAGAAAGUGUUUCAAGUUGCACCCCAAGGUACCAAAGAAGUACCCCAGCUGGUUUGGCACUUUUGGUACUGGUACUUUUGGUACUGGCACUUUUGGUACUGGUACUUGAUCAGAAGUCAAUGGAAAAGUGAAAGCACCAAAAGUACCAUAACAAAAGUACUGGGUGCGGUGGAAAAACGCCCUUUGAAACUGGCGUUUGAAGAUGCUGUACACAGAGGAACAAAAUGGUGCUCAGAAUAUUUUCUUUCUUGCCUCUGAAAAUGUACAUGUCUUCCAGCCAUUCAUUUUUAAGAAAUCAGGUAGUACUUUGAUACUAACUGUACCAUAUAUAAGCACACAGUCCCGUGACAAAAGGUGACCAUACUGCCACUCAAAUUUGGUGCUAAUGCAACUGGUGCAAACAUCACAUUAAUUCCUCACAUUGGCAUGGAAUCAACAAAGAAAAUGUGUGGUGGCCAUGAUGUGAACGCGUUGAGUAUGAACUGGCUCUAAGGAGGAAGGAUGCAACUCAGACUAUUGAGCUAUUCAGGAACGCCCUGUGAGACUCACUUUUAAAUUUACACAGCUCAUUAAAGCUUGCUGUGGAAAGGCAGAUUAAAUGUUUACAGCUCUGGCAAUCGAAUGAUGAGCAUCUUAAGUUUAAACUUUUUGCCACUGUAAUUUCAUUGACUAUCCUGGGUAAUUAGAUAUGCCUACCCUAGGAAGGAGAGAGACCAUUCUGCAUGUUGCGCUAAAGUUAUUCCAGGUCUUUACUGGCAUUUUUUCACCUGAUUAAAUUUGUUUCUUCCAAGGAAAAACUACAGAAUACAAACUUCGGAUUGCGAGUAACUUGGUUUGCGAGUGUUCUGAAAGACGAGCAAAAUUUAAAUAUAAAUUUUAACUCGGAAAAACGGGCGAGGUCUUGCAAUACGAGAAUUAUGCAUACACUUUGUCUGCCUAGCGUCACAUAAUCACAACUGAGCCAAUGGUUCUUCUUUCUCUCUUGCUGCAGGAUUGUGGGCAAUCGUUUCCCAUGCGCGAUCUGUCGGCGAGCUUCACUCGUAUAGUCAAAAUUUAGUAGAAAAGCACCACCCGAAUAAGGGUGUAGCUGUGUGAGCAGUGAAUCUUUGACGAUCAUGCAAUGUCCACAUAUCCGCGAAAUCGAAAAGGAGGCAAAAGCAGGUGUCAUUGGAUAGGUUCUUUGGUAAAGUCGCACAAAAAGAAAGAUUCCAGUGAGCUAACAGAGUACAGUGAUUCCUUUAGUUAUAGUGAAAGCUGUCCUACAAAAUAACCCUUGUUUUUCCCUCUCUCUCAUCUCCCUCACACCAUCCUCAAUACUUUUCAAAGGUUAAGUGCAGGUUAAUUUGUUUUACUUUACUUGUAUAUUUUGUGUUAAUUUUUAUAUGACUGUUUUUGGGUUGUGGAACGAACCCACGAUUUCUAAUGGGAAAAUUCACUUUAAUACAUGAGUGCUUUUGGAUUAUGAGCACGUUUCCGGAAUGAAUUAUGCUUGCAAUCUGAGGUUUUACUGUGUACUCAAGAAUAUAAAAAAAUAAA